RNAcentral lists this ribosomal RNA (166 nucleotides) under Librevillea klainei. Its description in RNAcentral is "5.8S ribosomal RNA". It matches the Rfam family "5.8S ribosomal RNA". Rfam says of the family: 5.8S ribosomal RNA (5.8S rRNA) is a component of the large subunit of the eukaryotic ribosome. Lineage: Eukaryota; Viridiplantae; Streptophyta; Magnoliopsida; Fabales; Fabaceae. The record is from RNAcentral.
AAUGACUCUCGGCAACGGAUAUCUCGGCUCUUGCAUCGAUGAAGAAUGUAGCCAAAUGCGAUAGUUGGUGUGAAUUUCAGAAUCCUGUGAACCAUCGAGUCUUUGAACGCAAGUUGCACCCAAAGCCAUUAGGCCGAGGGCACGUCUGGCUGGGUGUCACACAACG